CGAUAAGGAAACAUUCAUACACAAAAUGAAGUGUGAUUUUCUGCCCACAUCCCGAACCAAUAGGAAAGCAAAAGAUGAUCAAAUGACAAAAAUAAAGAAUGCUUCAACUCGAGUAAGAGGUCCUUUCGCUCCCACCUUGUGAUGUGCUCCCGAAAGCCUUGGACAGAUGGGAUCCACUCUCUCUACCUUUACAUUGAGCCAGAAACUUGUUGAAACCCGAAUGAUCGAUAGAAGGAUGCUCAACAGAUAUUCAUUCCUUAGCCAAUUUGAUGGACGCCGAAAUCACCUUCCCCAGGAUGAAUGCAAGGCCUUGGCAUAAUCUAAUGAUGACUUAUAUUACUCCACGAACGCCUCCAAGUCUUUAAAGUAUUUCGCAAAGGCCUUAUACCGUUCCACAGCCUCCUCUGGAGCUCAAGCCAAAAUGAACCGCAGGUUAUCAAUCUCCGUCCCUUGCUUGCAGGCUUGAGCCUCCAAAGCCUCAAGAGACUUCUUCAAAGAAGAAACUUUCUUCUUGUGCUGAUGAGCUUCAUUCUUCUUGUCCUCGG
Molecule: long non-coding RNA, 545 nt
Filed under: Olea europaea (common olive)
Lineage: Eukaryota; Viridiplantae; Streptophyta; Magnoliopsida; Lamiales; Oleaceae
Description: long non-coding RNA (OEUR_LNC008884)
Source: RNAcentral